UAGUAUGUUUGGGAUAGAUCCCCAUGUAGUAGUGUCAGAUCCUCACCUGAAUGCUUCGAACCUUUCAUUUCUACAAGCCACGCUACAUUGGCUACAUUAGGCAUUUUUAGUUUUUUACUUUCUUAGCACAAUGUAAUUACUAAGGUACCUUUAG
Molecule: non-coding RNA, 154 nt
Organism: Populus trichocarpa (black cottonwood)
Lineage: Eukaryota; Viridiplantae; Streptophyta; Magnoliopsida; Malpighiales; Salicaceae
Source: Rfam